This 2796-nucleotide long non-coding RNA is filed under the name Cricetulus griseus (Chinese hamster). Its description in RNAcentral is "lncRNA (ENSCGRG00015037442.1)". The record is from RNAcentral. Lineage: Eukaryota; Metazoa; Chordata; Mammalia; Rodentia; Cricetidae.
CACUUUUUAUAUUAAGUUUUUGAAGGUCAGUGUGUAUUUUAAACUUCAGCCAGUUAUGUUUCAAGAGUUCAGGGACCACACGUGACUUGUAGCUACUAAACUGGCUAGCAAAGCUCUAGCCAGAGUCUUUUCCAUUGCUUGACAUUUUUGUUUGGUUUAGUUUUCUUAUGCUUUUGUGAGUCUAUGCAACCCUGCUGGCCUGGAACUUGUUCUGUAGACCACAUUGGCCUCAAACUUAUGGCAAUGCUCCUGCCUCUGCUUCCACAGUGGUGGGAUUACAGGAAUGUGCAACCACCCCCACUGUACUUUUUGCUAGUCUUUCAGCCUAGCUCAGCAUCCACUGAGCUAAGUCCUUUGAAAGACUAGGUUUUGGUGAGCAAAGGAGAUAACUUUUUAUUUUUAUUUUUCCAGCCCUGAGGAUUGAACCCAAAGCCUCACACACACUAAGUAAGUGCUCUGCCACUGAGCUAUGUUUUUUUAGCUCCUUCUAAAAAACAAACAAACAAACCUUUAUUUUGAGACAAGGUAUUGCCAAGUUACAGCGGUUGGACUUGAACUCACUCUGUAGCCUAAGUGGGACUUGACCUUACCAUCCUUCUCCCUCUGUCUUCCAAGCACUUGGGAUUUUAGGCCUGUGCCAUAAGCCCCAGAUGAAAAUUGAAUUGGAAAGAAAUCUGGGUGAAGAAAAGGAUGACAAGGAGGAGCCAGGUGUAAUGGCUUGCAGCUAUAAUCACAAAACUGUGGACGCUGAGGCAGAACAACUUUCUCCAUGCACAGCUCCACUCCCGGGUACCUUUUCAUUCACCUAGGCACCAACUGACACCAAUAUUGGGGGGUGAUUUAGGGAUCCUAAGCCUGGUCACUCUGAUGUUUUGCUAAAUUCCCUUGUCCCCUGAAGAGGGCCUUAAGCUUGUUGUCUGCCUUGGUCGUUGUAAUAACUCAUCUUGGUUGUCAACUUGAAUACAUCUGGAAUGAGCUAAAACCCAAGCUGCUUGGCAUACCUGGGAUAGAUUUUCUUAAGACUCACCUUCAAUCUGGGCUACACCUUCUAGGGACUGGCCACAUACAGGACACGGGAGAAAGACACUUUCUCUUUGCUUGCUUCCCCCCACUCUAACUAGCAAGUUCAUCUAUCGGCUAUUGAGGCAUUCCUUCUCUGGUAUUAGAACUCGAUUCUUCAGAUUCCAGUGUAGACUGCAGGAAUCCUCUGGGACUCUAACACCAGACUGGAACUGCUGAGACAUCUAGCCUCAGGGACUGCACAAAUACCAGAUUCUCAGCCUCUCCAUUACAAGACAGCCAUUGUUGACUACUCAGACUACAUCCAGUAGCCCCUCUCCCUGUCACAAUUACAUCAGUUAACAGACUAGAGGUGAUACCCAAAGAACACGGAGGCCUGUGUGCUGAAGUAAGUCAACACAUUACUUCCGGAUCUAGAUGCUAGGAGAAAUUUCUCUCCUUAGCCCCAUCUAAUUCUCAUGUUCUCUACAAGUGCAGUGGGCACACAGAAGAGCUCUUUCUUCCUAGCAUUUUUAAGAGCCCCUGUAUCAGGCUCCAACUCUGGGCUUCAGGGUUCAGCUUAUAUGUGCUGUUUGUGGAUGAUUUAGACCACAAUACUAAACUCCUCUUUGCCUGGAUAAUUUUGCCUACAAAUGAGAGUAAUAAUAGGAGAGACCUCCCUAUUGGUGCAUCAGAUGAUUAUAGUGGUUAGUACACAUCCAAUCACUUAGUAUAGUGCCCAGUGCAGAGAAGCCUUCUUUCUCCAAGAGUUGUCCCUCAUGGUCUUUCUUCUUGCUUACAAUGGUACUUGCAGGGUCCCACAGCUGGAAACUCUAUCAUCUUGCUCUCUGCUCUUUGGCUGUUUCUUCUAUCCUGAUCAUGACCCUCCUGCCCUGGGUCUGUCUUCACAGGCUGUCUUCUCUGCCUUCUGUUUAGGGGAAAGCCAAACUACAGAGGGCCUAACUCACGCAUGAAAGGAAGAACUGAAGUAGGAUGGAAGCAUGUGGCAGGUUUCUCCAUCACAGUUUCUGUCUUGAUUUUGUAAGAAGAACAAUUCCAGAGUUUAAAAGAGCUCACAUCUUACAGGAUCAACCAAGGGUGAUGGUAGAACAUGAAGACUUCUUAUCUAUUUGGUUAGGCUCUUCAAAGCAGCAAGGAAAGAGUGCAUGCACCUGGAUCCUCCUCGCCAAUAAGGAAACCCAGAGUGCCAUCUCUUUAAGUGAGACACGUAUCAGAACAUGGCAUCGACCCCAGAAAUUGCACAGAGCCAGAGUGUCCCCAGCAUCAACACCUUUCAGGAGAGAAACUGAAUUCAUUUGCCAACAACCAACUCCAUCGGACAGUGCCAGAAAGUACGGGACUGCUUGCGUUCAUUUCUUCGAGAUGAGUCAGGGUUGCAGGGUGUCGAUGAUUAGAUGUAAAUGUUAAACCAAAAGCCCAUGGUGGUCACUUUGGCUUUCCUUCUGUGGAAAUCCAGCUUCUCACUUGGGGGGAAGGGGUUGUGUUACAUGUGAUAUUGGCAUGUUGCUCUGGUUUCCUGAAGCCCCCAUUUUUUGGGUCUCUCUGUGCCCUUCCCAUAUACACAAACACAUUUUCAGGUAAAACAUCUGGAAGGUCCUAUUUCAAAAGAGCAUGGCCAAGAAAAUCUUUCCAUUUGUAAAAAUAAUGUAAACCCUUUAGACUGUAAUGUCCUGCAGAGCAGGGGAAUUAUACAACAGCAAUAAAAUUGUCAGCUUUCAAUAAUCAGCCACAUUUUUUAUGGUAUUUUGUCACUGGGAAAGCACUUUUUAAUAAUCA